AAUUGCAAUCCCUCUGCCAGUGGGGUGAGUCCUGUGUGCAAUGCUUUACUUGAAUUCCAUUGCCCUUAAUUGGUUUUUCUGUUCUCCCCUUUUAGGCCCCGUUUGAUUCGUCAAAAAUUGACCUAGGAAUGUGAAUGAAUUGAUUUCAUUCCUUUUAUUGGUGUUUGAAAACUCAUUUUUUUUCAUUUCCAUUCCCACAAAAUAGGAAAG
This 210-nucleotide unclassified non-coding RNA is filed under the name Hevea brasiliensis (rubber tree). The record is from RNAcentral. Lineage: Eukaryota; Viridiplantae; Streptophyta; Magnoliopsida; Malpighiales; Euphorbiaceae.